GAUACAGGCCCUCUGGGCCUCUUGUUGUUAUUUAUUUUGCUGAUUUUGUAUUUAUGAAAUGAUUAUCUUUUUUUGAUCAGGGGUAAUAAAUAUUGAUAUUCCGUGGUGUUCUAUGUAUUUGGUUUUAAAAAAGGCUAGUCUUAAAAUUUCAAGUGUUAAGUGGUGAGAGCAGGAGUUGGACAUCAGUUGAUGUGAUUAGUGGUGAGGGCGGGAGUCAGACAUCAGUUGAUGUGAUUAGUGGUGAGGGCAGGAGUCGGACAUCAGUUGAUGUGAUUAGUGGUGAUAGUAGGAGUCAGACAUCAGUUGAUGUGAUUAGUGGUGAGGGCAGGAGUCGGACAUCAGUUGAUGUGAUUAGUGGUGAGGGCAGGAGUCGGACAUCAGUUGAUGUCAUUAGUGGUGAGGGCGGGAGUCGGACAUCAGUUGAUGUCAUUAGUGGUGAUAUCAGGAGUCGGACAUCAGUUGAUGUCAUUAGUGGUGAGGGCAGGAGUCGGACAUCAGUUGAUGUGAUUAGUGGUGAUAUCAGGAGUCGGACAUCAGUUGAUGUGAUUAGUGGUGAGGGCAGGAGUCGGACAUCAGUUGAUGUGAUUAGUGGUGAGGGCAGGAGUCGGACAUCAGUUGAUUUGAUUAGUGGUGAGAUGAGGAGUCGGACAUCAGUUGAUGUGAUAAGUGGUGAGGGCGGGAGUCGGACAUCAGUUGAUGUGAUUAGUGGUGAGAUCAGGAGCCGGACAUCAGUUGAUGUGAUAAACAUGAUAUGGGAUAAUCUGGCAAUAUCUUUGUAGUCAGUUGUGAUGUGAAUAGUGUAAUAAUAAGUAUGUGCUGAAUUUUGUUAUGUAAGUAUGACGUUGUAUCUAUUUAUAUAGUGAAGGUUGUGAUGUACACCUGUUUGAUGUUUCUACAUUAAUCAAUGUGUGUAGAAUAUAUUUUGUUAUCAUUUGUUACAUGUCAUAUAUUAUAUAUAUCUAUUAAAUGUUGCAAUGAAAACUGA
This is a long non-coding RNA of Pecten maximus, 985 nucleotides long. RefSeq lists it as uncharacterized. Lineage: Eukaryota; Metazoa; Mollusca; Bivalvia; Pectinida; Pectinidae. The transcript has 2 exons. The record is from RefSeq and is a predicted model, not a curated record.